UCAUCCCACAUGAGCGUGGGGACCACGCCUGCUGCCUCACCCCUCUCUCCGCAGGUGCCGGUGUUGGGGGGGUGCCAGGAGCCGUACCUGGUGUGGGCGGAGUGCCUGGAGUGACACCUGGUGUUGGUGGCGUGCCCGGCUUGGUGCCAGGGGUAGGAGUACCUGGAACUGGCAUCAUUCCUGGGGCAGGCAUCCCCCAAGUAGGGGUGCAACCUGGUGCUAAACCUCCCAAAUUUGGUGUUCCUGGGGUUGGAGUCCCAGGGGUUGGUGGCCUCCCAGGUGGCCUUGGAGUCGGUGGGCUCGGAGUUGGUGGCCUCGGAGCUGCUGGGAAACCUCCCAAGCCAGGUGGGGUCGGCGGCCUGGGAUUCGGUGGUGAGUAUCCAUUCUCCCCGCGGGGUGUUUUGGGGUGGGGGGGAACCCCGCGGGGAUCUCGCUCACCCUGCUCUGCCUUCCCGCUGCAGGGAAGCCCCCCAAACCCUACGGAGGAGCUCUGGGUGCCCUGGGCUUUAGAGGUGAGUGCGGUCCCCGCUGCCAGGGGGCUGUGCUGCCCCCAGUCCCUCUCCCGUCCCUGCGGCGGCUCGCAGGGAGGGCUGACCCGCAUCCCCCGCGGCAGGCGGCGCGGGCUGCGCGGCAGGGAAGUACUGCGGGAGGAAGCGGAAGUAACGCUCCGUCACCGAUCACCUCAUGAACUUUGGUGCUACUGCAUGGUCCAGAAUGUAAAUCCGAGCGAAGCUGAGACACCCUCUCCUCAAGCCCCGGACCGCCCCCGUCCAUCCCGGGGCCGUGCCCGGCCCCGCGUUCCCCGGAGGGACCCCGCGUUCCCCGGCAGCGUCCGGCCCCCCCCGCCCCUCGGUCCCGGCAGGGAGCGCGGAAUAAACUGCGGGGAGCAGCCGUCCCCCUUGGUGCUAUCGCUCUCUGCGGGAUUUGGGGGGGUCUGGGCUGUCGCGCCCCUCCCCAGCCCCAGAGCUGACCCCGGGGGGGGGGGACACAGGAUGGGGGGCACCCCACAUUGGAGGAAGGGAGGGAGGGAGGGUGGGAAGGGGAUGCCGGCAGCGGGGGCUGUGCGGGGAGGGAUGGCCCCGUCAGCCUGGCCCCCACCCCAGUCCCCGCGCCCCCCCGGUUUGGGGGGGUCGCGGGCAGGAGGGGCUCAGUCCCUUCACGUUGCUCACUUUGCUAUAACUGGGUGGGACGCCCUAUACAGAGGGACUCGCUUCUGACAGACUAAUAAAGGACAAGUUUUUAAAGGAUUCUGUGUUCCA
RNAcentral lists this long non-coding RNA (1259 nucleotides) under Chloebia gouldiae (Gouldian finch). RNAcentral describes it as "Erythrura gouldiae (Gouldian finch) lncRNA (ENSEGOG00005018067.1)". The record is from RNAcentral. Lineage: Eukaryota; Metazoa; Chordata; Aves; Passeriformes; Passeridae.